GAUGAACGCUGGCGGCGUGCCUAAUACAUGCAAGUCGAGCGAACAGACGAGGAGCUUGCUCCUUUGACGUUAGCGGCGAACGGGUGAGUAACACGUGGAUAACCUACCUAUAAGACUGGGAUAACUUCGGGAAACCGGAGCUAAUACCGGAUAACAUGUUGAACCGCAUGGUUCAACAGUGAAAGACGGUCUUGCUGUCACUUAUAGAUGGAUCCGCGCCGCAUUAGCUAGUUGGUAAGGUAACGGCUUACCAAGGCAACGAUGCGUAGCCGACCUGAGAGGGUGAUCGGCCACACUGGAACUGAGACACGGUCCAGACUCCUACGGGAGGCAGCAGUAGGGAAUCUUCCGCAAUGGGCGAAAGCCUGACGGAGCAACGCCGCGUGAGUGAAGAAGGUCUUCGGAUCGUAAAACUCUGUUAUUAGGGAAGAACAAAUGUGUAAGUAACUAUGCACGUCUUGACGGUACCUAAUCAGAAAGCCACGGCUAACUACGUG
RNAcentral lists this ribosomal RNA (497 nucleotides) under uncultured bacterium. Its description in RNAcentral is "partial 16S ribosomal RNA". It matches the Rfam family "Bacterial small subunit ribosomal RNA", at positions 28 to 507 of the family's 1533-position model. The record is from RNAcentral.